GUGUUUUGAGUGUUGUUUUGGUCAAUUGCAGACAAAGUCAUAGAAGACAAUUGUAGGACUAAAACCUCUUUUGUAAUUCAGGACUCAUUGUUCAGGAUGAGUUUUGAUGCAUUUGGAAAAGGAAUAUG
Molecule: small nucleolar RNA, 128 nt
Organism: Peromyscus californicus insignis
Lineage: Eukaryota; Metazoa; Chordata; Mammalia; Rodentia; Cricetidae
Product: small nucleolar RNA SNORA40
Exons: 1
Source: RefSeq, a predicted model, not a curated record